AGAGUUUGAUCCUGGCUCAGCAUGAACGCUGGCGGCGUGCUUAACACAUGCAAGUCGAACGAAGCACUUUAUUAGAUUUCCUCCGGAAUGAAGAUUUUGUGACUGAGUGGCGGACGGGUGAGUAACGCGUGGGUAACCCGCCUCAUACAGGGGGAUAACAGUUGGAAACGACUGCUAAUACCGCAUAAGCGCACAGCAUCGCAUGAUGCAGUGUGAAAAACUCCGGUGGUAUGAGAUGGACCCGCGUCUGAUUAGCCAGUUGGUGGGGUAACGGCCUACCAAAGCAACGAUCAGUAGCCGACCUGAGAGGGUGAUCGGCCACAUUGGGACUGAGACACGGCCCAAACUCCUACGGGAGGCAGCAGUGGGGAAUAUUGCACAAUGGGGGAAACCCUGAUGCAGCGACGCCGCGUGAGCGAAGAAGUAUUUCGGUAUGUAAAGCUCUAUCAGCAGGGAAGAAGAAAUGACGGUACCUGACUAAGAAGCACCGGCUAAUACGUGCCAGCAGCCGCGGUAAUACGUAUGGUGCAAGCGUUAUCCGGAUUUACUGGGUGUAAAGGGAGCGCAGGCGGUACGGCAAGUCUGAUGUGAAAGCCCGGGGCUCAACCCCGGUACUGCAUUGGAAACUGUCGGACUAGAGUGUCGGAGGGGUAAGUGGAAUUCCUAGUGUAGCGGUGAAAUGCGUAGAUAUUAGGAGGAACACCAGUGGCGAAGGCGGCUUACUGGACGAUUACUGACGCUGAGGCUCGAAAGCGUGGGGAGCAAACAGGAUUAGAUACACUGGUAGUCCACGCCGUAGACGAUGAAUACUAGGUGUCGGGGAGCAUUGCUCUUCGGUGCCGCAGCAAACGCAAUAAGUAUUCCACCUGGGGAGUACGUUCGCAAGAAUGAAACUCAAAGGAAUUGACGGGGACCCGCACAAGCGGUGGAGCAUGUGGUUUAAUUCGAAGCAACGCGAAGAACCUUACCAAGUCUUGACAUCCCACUGACAGAAUAUGUAAUGUAUUUUCUCUUCGGAGCAGUGGAGACAGGUGGUGCAUGGUUGUCGUCAGCUCGUGUCGUGAGAUGUUGGGUUAAGUCCCGCAACGAGCGCAACCCCUAUUGUUAGUAGCCAGCGGUUCGGCCGGGCACUCUAGGAAGACUGCCAGGGAUAACCUGGAGGAAGGUGGGGAUGACGUCAAAUCAUCAUGCCCCUUAUGACUUGGGCUACACACGUGCUACAAUGGCGUAAACAAAGGGAAGCGAGCCUGUGAGGGGGAGCAAAUCUCAAAAAUAACGUCUCAGUUCGGACUGCAGUAUGCAACUCGACUGCACGAAGCUGGAAUCGAUAGUAAUCGACGAAUCCAGAAUGUCGUCGGUGAAUACGUUCACCGGGUCCUGUACACACCGCCCGUC
This 1395-nucleotide ribosomal RNA is filed under the name uncultured bacterium. RNAcentral's name for it is "bacterial SSU rRNA". It matches the Rfam family "Bacterial small subunit ribosomal RNA". The record is from RNAcentral.